RNAcentral lists this transfer RNA (75 nucleotides) under bacterium. RNAcentral's name for it is "tRNA-Arg". It matches the Rfam family "tRNA". From Rfam's summary of the family: Transfer RNA (tRNA) molecules are approximately 80 nucleotides in length. The record is from RNAcentral.
GCCCCCAUAGCUUAAAGGAUAAAGUACUUGGCUUCGAACCAAGUGAUGGAGGUUCGAUUCCUUCUGGGGGCACAA